AUACCGUUGCCUUUGUGGCUUGCUUAAUGGUGGAAAACACUGCCAGGCGAAUUGGUCAAAUGACCCCGUCGACAAUUUCGUACAUAAACACACAACAUAGGGCAACAACUGAAUAAAGGAAAAGACAAUUGAGAACAGAAUAUAAGGAAAUGCUAAUAAGGAUAAGGAAGAUAAGAAGAUAAAGAUAAGGAUAAGGAUAAGUAAGAUAAGAAGCUAAGGAUAAGGAAG
Molecule: non-coding RNA, 228 nt
Organism: Paramuricea clavata
Lineage: Eukaryota; Metazoa; Cnidaria; Anthozoa; Malacalcyonacea; Plexauridae
Source: the annotation of a GenBank genome assembly